UUCCCAAUUCGAUAUGGUGCUGCAGCCUUCUUCGUAAGCUUGCUGCCGAUCGUCCUUCGUAAGAACAGAUUGCACCAUCACUUGUAUCCCUCUGAGACCUCUACUAAGAUCACUCUAAGAAUCUUUCCUCAAAUGAUAUCACUAUACAAAUAUCAGAUUAUAUGUUCAACACAUGAACAAUCUGAUUUUAAGACAAGCAUCACAUGCUUUCCUUUUUUCUUCCUCUCUUCCUUUCUAUUUUCUUUCUCCCUUUUUCUUGUCUUUAUCCCAAAUUUG
This 276-nucleotide long non-coding RNA is filed under the name Elaeis guineensis (African oil palm). Its description in RNAcentral is "long non-coding RNA (EGUI_LNC051657)". Lineage: Eukaryota; Viridiplantae; Streptophyta; Magnoliopsida; Arecales; Arecaceae. The record is from RNAcentral.